UCCUAGUUAACCUAGGCAGUCUCAUUAGAGUCCCCACCUUACGUGUUGGCAACUAAUGAUAAGGGUUGCGCUCGUUGCGGGACUUAACCCAACACCUCACGGCACGAGCUGACGACAGCCAUGCAGCACCUAUACAAUGACCCUUGCGGGAGAUCUCGUUUCUGAGACUGUCCACUGUAUUUCGAGCCUGGGUAAGGUUCUUCGCGUUGCAUCGAAUUAAACCACAUGCUCCACUGCUUGUGCGGGCCCCCGUCAAUUCUUUUGAGUUUCACUCUUGCGAGCGUACUCCUCAGGCGGUAUACUUAACGCGUUAGCUACGACACAGCCGGGGUUGAGCCCAGCUAUACCAAGUAUACAUCGUUUACGGCAAGGACUAC
This 377-nucleotide unclassified non-coding RNA is filed under the name uncultured Simkaniaceae bacterium. Its description in RNAcentral is "contains 16S-23S intergenic spacer region". Lineage: Bacteria; Pseudomonadati; Chlamydiota; Chlamydiia; Parachlamydiales; Simkaniaceae. The record is from RNAcentral.